Molecule: small RNA, 70 nt
Filed under: Escherichia coli
Lineage: Bacteria; Pseudomonadati; Pseudomonadota; Gammaproteobacteria; Enterobacterales; Enterobacteriaceae
Description: Retron msr RNA
Rfam family: Retron msr RNA
About the family: Retron elements are found in a wide range of mainly Gram-negative bacteria.
Source: RNAcentral
GCUCCUUACGCGUUAUGGCAUAGUUAUAUGCUAGUCGGGCGAUUAGCCAGACUCGAACUUAUUGAACGGU